RNAcentral lists this ribosomal RNA (497 nucleotides) under uncultured bacterium. Its description in RNAcentral is "partial 16S ribosomal RNA". It matches the Rfam family "Bacterial small subunit ribosomal RNA", at positions 28 to 507 of the family's 1533-position model. The record is from RNAcentral.
GAUGAACGCUGGCGGCGUGCCUAAUACAUGCAAGUCGAGCGAACGGACGAGAAGCUUGCUUCUCUGAUGUUAGCGGCGGACGGGUGAGUAACACGUGCAUAACCUACCUAUAUGACUGGGAUAACUUCGGGAAACCGGAGCUAAUACCGGAUGAUAUUUUGAACCGCAUGGUUCAAAAGUUAAUGACGGUCUUGCUGUCACUUAUAGAUGGAUCCGCGCUGCAUUAGCUAGUUGGUAAGGUAACGGCUUACCAAGGCAACGAUGCAUAGCCGACCUGAGAGGGUGAUCGGCCACACUGGAACUGAGACACGGUCCAGACUCCUACGGGAGGCAGCAGUAGGGAAUAUUCCGCAAUGGGCGAAAGCCUGACGGAGCAACGCCGCGUGAGUGAUGAAGGUCUUCGGAUCGUAAAACUCUGUUAUUAGGGAAGAACAUAUGUGUAAGUAACUGUGCACAUCUUGACGGUACCUAAUCAGAAAGCCACGGCUAACUACGUG